GUCGCGAGGCGGGAUCACGAGGGGAAAUGGCUUCUCGAGUUCCGCGUCCAGGAAGCCCGGCCCGGUGGAUACUUGUGGGCUAGAGGACUGAGGGAGGGACGGGCUCUCUGUUCGCCCUCGGUGCCAGUACUGGAGCGCGGCGGAGGGCGUGCUCGGGUCCCGUCUCCCCGCCACCCGCCCCGCCAGUUCGCCGUGUAGGCCUGGCUGGGCGCCCUCACUUCAGCCCGUCGUUAGUUCUCCCUUCGGGGUCACAUCCAGCCCCUUAUUAAACUGCUGUCGCAGACCGAUUUUCUAGUCUUGUCGCAGUUCAUGACAGCCUGCCUCCUGAACAGAAUUACUCGAGCUUCUGUAUGGGCCCUCAACAGAAGUUUGAUCUAUAUAUAAAGCAUGUGUAAAUUUUUUUGUUUUACUAACUCUUAUCCAUGCGUAUUUCUUUUUUUAGGGGUCUUUGUUUUUUUGCUUAGCUUUGAAUUUCUUUCUAGUGUCUUUUCCCUUCCAUCUGAAGGACUUCCAUUAGUAUCUUUUUGAAGGGCGGGUAUGGUGGGUAUGAACGCUGGCAGCUUCUGUUUGGGAAUGUUUUAAUUUCUUUCUCAUCCUUGAAGGACAGUUUCCCUGGGUAUAGUAUUGCUGGUUGACAGAUUUUUUUGUUUGUUUUUUCCAGAACUUCAAAUAUAUCAUUACCUUCUGGCCUCCAGUGUUUCUGAGGAGAAACUGGCUAUUUAAACUUACCGGUGUUCCUUUGUAUGUGACUGUUUGCCUCUCUUUCACAGCUUUGAGGAUUCUCUCUCCACCUUCCCCCCAUUUUUCUUUUUAAUGUUUAUUGUGCUUUAAGUGAAAAUUUAAAAUCUAGUCCGUCUCAUACAAAAAUUUAUAUACACCUUGCUGUAUACUCCUAAUUGCUUUCCCCCUAAUGAGACAGCACACUCCUUCCCUCCACUCUCUUUGUGUCCAUUUGGCCGGCUUCUGACCCCCUCUGUCCUCUCAUCUCCUUUCCAGACAGGAGAUGCCAACAUAGUCUCAGGUGUCUAUUUGAUCCAAGAAGCUUGUUCUACACCGGUAUCAUUUUCUGUCCCAUUGCCCAGUCCAAUCCCUGUCUUAAGAGUUGGCUUUGGGAAUGGUUCCUGUCUUGGGCAAACAGAAGGUCUGGGGACCAUGAGCACUGGGGUCUUUCUAGUCUCAGUCAGACCAUUAAGUCUGGCCUUUUUACAAGAGUUUGGGGUCUGCAUCCCACUGCUCUCCUGCUCCCUCAGGGGUUCUCUGUUUUUUUCCCUGUCUGGGUGGUCAUCGGUUGCAGCCAGGCAGCAUCUAGUUCUUCUGGUCUCAGGCUGAUGUAGUCUCUGAUUUAUGUGGCUCUUUCUGUCUCUUGGGCUUGUAAUUAUCUUGUGCCUUUGGUGUUCUUCAUUCCCCUUUGCUCCAGGUGGGUUGAGACGAAUUCAUGGGUCUUAGAUGGUUGCUUGCUAGCAUUUAAGACCCCAGACAGCACUCUCCAAAGUGGGAUACAGAAUGUUUUCUUAAUAGAUUUUAUUAUGCCAAUUAGAUGUCCCCUGAAUCCAUGGUCCCCAAACCCCUGCCCCUACUACACUGGCCUUCGAAGCAUUUGGUUUAUUCAGAAAACUUUUUUGCUUUUGGUUUAGUCCAGUUGUGCUGACCUCUCUUGUAUUGUGUGUUGUCUUUCCCUCCACCUAAAAUAGUCCUUAUCUACUAUCUAAUUAGUGAAUACCCCUCUCCCUCCCUCCCUCCCACUUCUCGUAACCAUCAAAGAAUAUUUUCUUCUGUUUUUAAACUAUUCUUCAAGUUCUUAUAAUAGUGGUCUUAUACAAUAUUUGUUCUUUUACAACUGACUAAUUUCACUCAGCAUAAUGCCUCUCAGAUUCCUCCAUGUUAUGAAAUGUUUCACAGGUUCAUCACUGUUCUUUAUCGAUGCGUAGCAUUCCAUUGUGUGAAUAUACCAUAAUUUAUUUAACCACUCAUCCCUUGAUGGGCAUCUUGGUUGCUUCCAUCUUUUUGCUAUUGUAAACAGUGCUUCAGUGAACAUGGGUGUGCAUAUAUCUGUUCAUGUAAACGCUCUUAUUUCUCUAGGAUAUAUUCCAAGGAGUCGGAUUGCUGGAUCAUAUGGUAAUUCUAUUUCUAGCUUUUCAAGGAAGCGCCAAAUGGAUUUCCAAAGUGGUUGUACCAUUUUACGUUCCCACCAGCAGUUAUAAGUGUUCCAGUGUCUCCACAGCCUCUCCAACAUUGAUCAUUUUGAGUUUUUUGGAUUAAUGCCAGCCUUGUUGGAGUGAGAUGGAAUCUCAUUGUAGUUUUGAUUUGCAUUUCUCUAAUGGCUAAUGAUCGUGAGCAUCUCCUCAUAUAUCUGUUAGCUACCUGAAUGUCUUUAGUGAAGUCCUUUUCAUCUUUUGCCCAUUUUUUAAUUGGGUUAUUUGUCUUUUCGUAGUUGAGCUUUUGCCGUAUCAUGUAGAUUUUAGAGAUCAGGCGCUGAUCGGAAAUGUCAUAGCUAAAAACUUUUUCCCAGUCUGUAGGUAGUCUUUUUACUCUUUUGGUGAAGUCUUUGGAUGAGCAUAGGUGUUUUAUCUUUAGGAGCUCCCAGUUAUCUAGUUUCUCUUCUGCAUUGUUAGUAAUGAUUUGUACACUGUUUAUGCCGUGUAUUAGGGCUCCUAACGUUGUCCCUGUUUUUUCUUCCAUGAUCUUUAUUGUUUUGGAUUUCAUAUUUAGGUCUUUGAUCCAUUUUGAGUUGGUUUUUGUGCAUGCUGUGAGGUAUGGGUCUUGUUUCAUUUUUUUGCAGAUGGAUAUCCAGUUAUGCCAGCACCAUUUGUUAAAAAAGGCUGUCUUUUCCCCAUUUAACAGACUUUGGGCCUUUUUCAAAUAUCAACUACUCAUAUGUAGAUGGAUUUAUGUCUGGAUUCUCAAUUCUGUUCCAUUGGUCUAUGUAUCUGUUGUACCAGUACCAGGCUGUUUUGACUACUGUGGCGGUAUAAUAGCUUCUAAAAUCAGGUAGAGUGAGGCCUCCCACUUUGUUCUUCUUUUUCAGUAAUGCUUUACUUAUCUGGGGAAACCCAGGUGGCAUAGUGGUUAAGAGCUAUGGCUGCUAACAAAAAGGUCGGUAGUUCAAAUCCACCAGACACUCCUUGGAAACUCUAUGGGGCAGUUCUCCUCUGUCCUAUAGGGUCGCUGUGAGUUGGAAUCGACUCGAUGGCAGUAGGUUUGGUUUGGUUAGUUUUACUUAUCUGGGGCCUCUUUCCCUUGCAUAUGAAGUUGGUGAUUUGUUUCUCCAUCUCAUUAAAAAAUGUCGUUGGAAUCUGGAUCAGAAUUGCAUUGUAUCUAUAGACCGCUUUUGGUAGAGUAGACAUUUUUACAAUGUUAAGUCUUCCAAUCCAUGAGCAAGGUAUGUUUUUCCACUUAUGCAGGUCUCUUUUGGUUUCUUGUAGUAGUGUUUUUAGUUAUCUUUGUAUAAGUCUUUUACAUCUCUGGUAAGAUUUAUUCCUAAGUACUUUAUCUUCUUGGGGGCUACAGUAAAUGUUAUUGAUUUGGUGGUUUCCUCUUUGAUGUUCUUUUUGUUGGUUUAGAGGAAUCCAACUGAUUUUUGUAUCUUUAUCUUGUAUCCUGAUACUUUGCUGAACUCUACUUUUAGCUUCAGUUUUUUUCUUUAGAAUCCUUUAGGGUUUUCUGUGUAUAAGAUCAUGUCAUCUGCAAAUAGAGAUACUUUUACUUCUUCCUUACCAAUCUGGAUACACUUUAUUUCUCUAUGUAGCCUAAAUGCUCUGGCUAGGACCUUCAGCACAAUGUUGAAUAACAGUGGUGAUAAAAGGCAUCCCUGUCUGGUUCCUGAUCUCAAGGGAAAUGCUUUCAGACUCUCUACAUUUAAGAUGAUGUUGGCUGUUGGCUAUUGGCUUUGUAUAAAUGCCCUUUAUUAUGUUGAGGAAUUUUCCUUUUAUUCCUAUUUUGCUGAGAGUUUUUGUCAUGAAUGGGUGUUGAACUUUGUCAAAUGCCUUUUCUGCAUCAAUUGGUACAAUCAUGUGGUUCUUGUCUUUUGUUUUAUUUAUAUGAUGGAUAACAUUAAUUCUUUUUCUAAUGUUGAACCAUCCCUGCAUACCUGGUAUGAAUCCCAGUUGGUAAUGGUGAAUUACUUUUUUGAUACGUUAUUGAAUUCUGUUGGCUAGAAUUUUGUUGAGGAUUUUUGCAUCUAAGUUCAUGAGGGAUAUAUGUCUGUAAUUUUCUUUUUUUUGUGGUGUCUUUUUUUUUUACCUGGUUUUGGUAUCAGGGUUAUGCUGGCUUCAUAGAAUGAGUUUGGGAGUAUUCCGUCCUUUACUGUGCUCUGAAAUACCCUUAGUAGUAAUGGUGUCAACUCUUCUCUGAAAGUUUGGUAGAACUCUGCAGUGAAGCCAUUCUGGGCCAGGGCUUUUUCUUGUGGGGAGUUUUUUGAGUACCUUUCAGUCCCUUCUUUUGUUAUGGGUCUAUUUAGUUGUUCUACUUCUGUCUGUGUUAGUUUAGGUAGGUAGUGUUUUUCUAGGAAUUCAUUUCUUCUAGGUUUUAAAAUUUGUUGGAGUACAGUCUUUCAUAGUAAUCUGAUAACGAUUCUUUUAAUUUUAGUUGGGUCUGUUGUAAUAUCGCCCUUCUCAUUUCUUAUUUGGGUUAUUUGCUUCCUCUCCUGUUUUUCUUUUGUCAGUUUGGCCAGUGGUUUAUCAAUUUUGUUGAUUUUUUCAAAAAAACAGCUUUUGGUCUUGUUAAUUCUUUCAGUUGUUUUUCUGUUUUCUAUUUCAUUAUAGUUCUGCUCUAAUUUUUAUUAUUUGUUUUCUUUUGGUGCCUGUGGGUUUCUUUUGUUACUCUCUUUCUGUUAUUCAAGUUGUAGGGAUAAUUCUUUGAUUUUGGCCCUUUCUUCUUUUUGGAUGCGUGCAUUUAUUGAUAUAAAUUGACCUCUGAGCACCGCUUUUGCUGUGUCCCAAAGGUUCUGAUAAGAAGUGUUUUCAUUCUCAUUGGAUUCUCUGAAUUUCUUUAUUCCAUCCUUAACGUCUUCUAUAAUCCAGUCUUUUUUGAGCAGGGUAUUGUUGAGUUUCCAAGUGUUUGAUUUCUUUUCCCUGCUUUUUCUGUUAUUGAUUUCCACUUCUAUGGCCUUAUGAUCAGAGAAGGUGCUUUGUAAUAUUUUGAUGUUUUGGAUUCUGCUAAGCCUUGCUUUAUGACCUAAAAUGUGAUCUAUUCUAGAGAAUGUUCCACGCGCACUAGAAAAGGAAAUGUACUUGACUGCUGUUGGGUGUAGUGUUCCAUAUAUGUCUGUAAGGUCAAGUUGGUUCAUUGUGGCAUUUAGACCUUCCGUGUCUUUCUUGAGCUUCUUUUGGAUGUCCUGUCCUUCACCGAAAGUGGUGUGUUGAAGUCUCCUACUAUAACUGUGGAGCUGUCUAUCUCACUUUUUAAUGUUGAUAGAGUUUGUUUUAUGUAUCUUGCAGCCCUGUCAUUGGGUGCAUAAAUAUUUAAUAUGGUUAUAUCCUCAUGGUAUAUUGUCGCUUUAAUCAUUAAAUAGUGUCCUUCCUUAUCUUUUGUGGUGGAUUUAACUUUAAAGUCUAUUUUGUCUAAAAUUAAUAAUGCCACUCCUGCUACUUUUUGGUUGUUGUUUGCUUGAUAUAUUUUUUUUCAUACUUUGAGUUUUUGUUUGUGUCUCUAAAUCUAAGGUGUUUCUCUUGUAGGCAGCAUAGAGACAGACCGUGUUUUUUUAAUUCAUUCUGCCACUCUCUGUCUCUUUAUUGGUGCAUUUAGUCCAUUUACAUUCAGCGUAAUUAUGGAUAGGUAUGAAUUUAGUGCUGUCAUUUUGAUUUUUUUUUUAUGUGUUGUUGAUAGUUUCUUUUUCCCACUUAAUUUUUUGUGCUUUGUGGUUCAUCUUUACAUAUCCUCUUUUCCCCGUAUUUGUUGCUGUUGAUUUUGUUUCUGCUGAGUCUCUGUUUUUUUUCUUGUAUUUUAUUUUGAUGAGUAGGAUAGUUUGUCUCCGUUGUGGUUACUUUAAUAUCUACCUCUGUUUUUCUAAAUUUAAAACUAACUUUUUUUUCUUUUUAUAGCCUUGUCUUCCUCUGUGUAUGAAAAAUCUGUGACUACAUUUCUUAAUUUCUCUUUAUGGUUUUAAUGUUGUCUUAUAUAAUAACAUCGCUCUUUCCCUGUUCUGGGCAUUUUUUUAUCUUGAUUUAUUUUUGCGAUUUCCCUAUUUGCGUUGACAACUGAUUGCUCUAUCUAGUGUUCUAGUGUUGGGUUGAUACCUGAUAUUGUUGAUGUUCUAACCAAUGAACUCCCUUUGGUAUUUUUUUGUAGUGAUCUCAGGAAGGCAUCUUCAUUGAGAAGAUUCAUUGAUUCUUCGUUUUGAGAGCUUGUGGAGGCAAUCAUGGUUGGUUUAGCAAAGUGGCCCAUCACAUUGUGUGCCCUGCUCCACCAUGCAAACAAGACCAAGUUGUGAGUCCUUCUUGGGAAGCAUGGCAGCUGCCUCCAGAUCACAUAUUUUUUCCAUCCUUUUUUUUUUUUAACUCCCCGUUUCCUCCCACACCAGCCUCAGCCCAUGGUAACUGCUCAUCUUUUGUCUUGAUGGAUUUGCCUAUUGUAGAUAUUUCAUGCCUGUCUAAUCUUUGGCUGAAAGGCAGACUUCAGGAGUGGCUUGAGUUCUGAGUUAGCAGGAUGUCCAGGGACCAUAGUCUUGGGAUUUCCUCCAGCCUCUUUCAGAUCAGUAAGUCUGGUCCUUUUUGUGAAUUUGGACUUUAUUCUACAUUUUUCUCCCACUCUGUCCAGGACCCUCUAUUGUGAUCCCUGACAGGGCGGUUGGUGGUUGUAGCUGGGGAUCAUUUAGUUCUGGGCUCAGACUUGUAGAGGCUGUGGUUCAUGUGGUCCAUUAAUCCUUCAGACUAAUAUUUUCCUGUGGCUUUGCUUUUCUUCAUUCUGUUUUGCUCUGAAUGUGAUGGGACCAGUAGGUGUAUCUUAGAUGACCACUUGCAAGCUUUUAAGUCCCUAGACGCUACUCACCAAAGUAGGGUAUAGAAUAUUUUCUUUAUGAACUAUAUUAUGCCAAUUGACCUAGCUGUCUCCUGAGACCAUGAUUGCCAGGCCUCAGCCCCAGUAAUUCAGUUCCUCAAGGUGCUUGAAUGUGUCUAUCAUUGAAUUUUAAGAGUUUUUUUCCCAUAUUCUGGAUAUUAAACCUUUAUCAGAUAUAUGAUUUCCAAAUAUUUUCUCUCAUUCUGUAGAUUCUUUUUACUUUCUUAAUAAUGUCCCUUGAUAAACAAGCCUUUAAUUUUGAUGAAGUUGAAUUUAUCUAUUUUUUUUUUCUCUUCUUGCUUGUGCUUUUGGUGUCAUAUAUAAGAAUCUAUUGCCUAAAAGAAGGUCUUGAAUUUUACCCCUUUCUUCCAAUAAUUUUAUGGUUUUAGCCCUUAUAUUUAGAUCAUUGCUCCAUUUUGAGUUCAUUUUUGCAUGUAGUGUGACGUAUGGAUUCAACUUCAUUCUUUUUCAUGUGGAGAUCCAGUUGCCUCAGUACCAUUUGUUCAACAUACUAUUUUUUCCCUAUGAAAGGGGAUUGGCCCCCUUACCAAAAAUCACUUGAGUAUAGAUGUAUUGGUUUAUUUCUGGACUGUCAAUUCUAUUCCAUUGUUUUAUAUGUCUAUCCUUAUACCAGUAUAAGACUGUUUAGGAUACUGUAGUUUUAUAGUAUGUUUUGAAAUCAGGAAUUGAGCGUCCUCCUACUUUUUUUUUCUAAAUUGUUUUGGCUAUUCGGGGCCACUUGCAAUUCUGUAUGAGUUUGAGGAUCAGCUUUUCCAUUUUUUUUAAAUGGCUUUUGGAAGUUUAAUAGGAAUUGUGUUGUAUCUGUAGAUUGCUUUGGGUAAACUUAAUAUGUUAAUACUAUUAGGCCUUUGACUUCAUAAACAUAGGAUGUCUUUCAAUUUAUUUAGCCCUUCUUUAAUUUCUUUCAGCAGUGUUUUUUGGUUUUCAGUUGUCUAGUAUUGCUUUAACAGAAAUACUGCAAGUGGAUGGCUUCAACAAACAAAAGGUUAUUCUCUCACAGUCUGGUAGGUUAGAAGUCUAAAUUUAGGGCAAGCCUUUCUCUCUCUGUAGUUUCUGGAGGAAGGUCCUUGUCAUCAGUCUUCCUCUGGUCUAGGAGCUUCUCCACACAGGAAACUCGGGUCCAAUGAUGCACCCUCUUUCUGGUACUGCUUUCUUGGUGGGAUGAAGUCCCCAUUCUCCUAGUCCAUCUGAGUGAUGACUCCACCCUUUGAGACCCCAGAGGUCAUGGCAAUACCCUUUGAGACUGAGGCGGCUCAGCUUCCUGUGUUCCUUGUCUCUUCAGCUUCUGCUUCCUGGUUCCUUGGCCUCUGGGGUCCCUCAGGCCUCCCUGCCCAAAUCUGCCCUGCUGGGACAGGGGUUUCAAAGCUCCAUAGUUCCACUGAUAAGAGCUUGGAGACACCCUACUCUGCCAGUAAACUUUGGCUGGAAGACACUCAGCUCUCUCACUCCAUGGGUUGGCUCCAGUCCUGUCUCAUGCUUGUCUCCUGGUUCUGCUGCUGCUUGCUGUUUCUCUGCAUCUGCCAUUUCCAAUGUAAUAGCUGUCCUCAUUUCCUUCUGAGUCCUCACCAGAAUUGUCUUUGAUGCCCAUAAUUCCACCAAUAGUCUUUUCAAUGCAUUCUAGGCUUUUACUAUUAGGCACUUUAAAACUCUUCCAGUCUCAACAGGGAUCACAAUCAAGGGGCCCGGCCAGAGCUGAAGAAAAAUGUAGAACAAAAUUCUAACUCAAAAAAAAAGACCCGACUUGUUGGCUUGACAGAGACAGGAGAAACCCUGAGAGUAUGGCCCCAGAACACAGUAUCAGCUCAGUAAUGAAGUCACUUCUGAGGUUUGCCCUUCAGCCAAAGAUUGGACAGGCCCAUAAAAUAAAACAAGACUAAAGGGACACACCAGCUCUGGGGCAAGGACUAGCAGGCAGGAGGGGACAAGAAAGUUGGUAAUAGGGAACCUAAGGUUAAGAAGGGAGAGUGUUGACAUGUGAUGUUGUUAACCAAUGUCAUAUAACAAUAUGUGUACUAACUGUUUAAUGAGAAACUAGUUUGUUCUGUAAACCUUCAUUUAAAGUACAAUAAAAACAAAAAAACUCUUCCAGCCUCUAUCCAUGCACAGUUUCAAAACUGCUUCCACAAUUUAAGUAUCUGUUAGAGCAGCACCCCACCUUCUUAGUAUCAAAUUCUGUCUUAGUUAUCUAGUGCUGCUAUAAAAGAAAUACCACAAGUGGAUGGCUUUAACAAAGAGAAUUUUAUUUUCUCACAGUUUAGGAGGCUAGAAGUCCAAAUUCAGGGUGCCAGCUCCAGGUAAAUCCAUUCUCCUUCUGUUGGCUCUGGGGAAAGGUCCUUGUCAUCAAUCUUCCUGUCUAGGAGCUUCUCAGCACAGGGACCUCCUACCACCAAGAAAGCAGAGCUGGGAGUUGAGCACAUCCUUUAGACCCAGGGUCCCUGCACAGAGAGGCUCCUAGACAAAGGGUAGAUUGAUGACAAGGACCUUCCCCCAGAGCUGACAGGGAAAGAAAGUCUUUACCUAGAACUGGCACCCUCAAUUCGGAAUUCUAGCCUCCUAAGCUAUGACAUAAUAAAAUUCUCUUUGUUAAAGCCAUUCACUUGUGGUAUUUCUGUUAUAGCAGCACUAGAUAACUAAGGUACAGUGUAAAGGCUUUCCGCCUUCUUGGUUAAAUUUAUUCCUAGAUAUUUUAUUCUUUUGAAUGCUGUUGUCAAAAGGAAUGUUUUCUUAAUUUCCCUUUUUAGAUUGUUGCUGGUAUAUAGAAACAACUAAUUUCUGUGUGCUGAUCUUGUACCCUGCAACUUUGCUGAAUUCAUUUAUUAGCUCUAGUAGCUUUUCGUGGAUUUGGAGUGAUUUUUCUAUAUAUAGUAUCCUGUCAUCUGCAAAUAGAGAUAGUUUUACUUCUCCUUUUCUGAUUUGAAAGACUCUUAUUUCUUUUUCUUGCCUAAUUACUUUGGCUAGAAUUUCUAAUGCAGUGUUGAAUAGGAGGUAAAAAGUGGGCACCCUGACUUGUUCCUGAUCACAGGGGGAAACUUUUAGUCUUUCAGCACUGGUAUGGUAUUAGCCAUAGGAUUUUCAUAAAUAUCUUUUAUCAUGUUGAGGAAUUUCCCUUCUAUUCCUAGUUUGUUGAGUGUUUUUAUCAUGAAAAGGUGUUGGAUUUUUGUCAAAUGUAUUUUCUGUAUUAAUUGAGGUGAUUCGAGUGAUGUGUUGGUUAUUUUUGCCUUCAUUGUAUUAAAGUGGUAUAUUGAUUGAUUUUCUUACGUUGAACUACCCUUACAUUUCUGGGAUAAAUUCCACUUGGCCAUGGCAUAUAAUUUUUUAAUAUGUUGUGUGUCUUGGCUGUCUAGUCUGCUAUAACAGAAAUACCACAAGUGGAUGGCUUUAACGAAGAGAAAUUUAUUUCUUCACAGUAAAGUAGGCUAAAAGUCCAAAUUCAGGGCAUCAGCUCCAGGGGAAGCCUUUCUCUCUUUGACAGCCUUCUCAUCAAUCUUCCCUGGGACUAAGAGCUUCUCUGUGCGGGGACCCUGGGUCCAAAGGAUGGGCUCUGCUCCCAGCACUGCUUUUUUGGUGGUAUGAGGUCCCCUACUCUCAGCUUGCUUCCCUUUCCUUUUAUCUCUUGAAGAUAAAAGGUGGUGCAGGCCACACCCCAGGGAAAUUCCCUUUACGUUGGAUCAAGGAUGUGAUGUAGUAAGGGUUUUACAAUCCCACCCUAAUCCUCUUUAACAUAAAUUAAC
This is a long non-coding RNA of Loxodonta africana (African savanna elephant), 10745 nucleotides long. RefSeq lists it as uncharacterized. The transcript has 3 exons. The record is from RefSeq and is a predicted model, not a curated record. Lineage: Eukaryota; Metazoa; Chordata; Mammalia; Proboscidea; Elephantidae.